AGAUGGCGGGUGGCGGUCCGUCGGCGGGCGGCGUCCUCCGGAGGACCUGCAAAAAGCCGGUGGCCGGGGUUUCCGGCGGCGGCCCUCCGAUGCUUAAGUCAGAGGGGGGCUUAAUUUUGGAGAAGGAGAGGGACUGUAUGUAGAAGUCCGAAGCCUCCCCUUUGGGAGGAAGAAGCCUUCCUUUUAUAGGAGGAGUGGCAGGGUUACCUAUGAUGUGACUAGGCGAAUUAAAGGGUUACCGUCACGAUUGGACGUGGGCGUGUGAAGUAAUGAGUUGCCGUGGAUGGCCCGUUCCCAUCAUGAGAUGAGAUGGCGCACAGCCAGAGCUUGCUUGAGGCGCGUAGUGCAGUCCAUUCUUAGGAAUGGUGAGGCGUUGACAGUCGUAGCAAGGUAUGAUCCUUGGUUGAUAUGUCGUAGCGUGGCCGGCAAGUAAAGCAUGGUGCGGUGAGGCUGCUGCAGGGCAUGGCUACAGCAUGUGGACGACAAGGUCGGCCAUCUGAGGUCAGCUCGGCCUUCUGUGCUUGGCCUUCUGAGCUCGGCAGCCUUCUGAGCUCGGCCUGCAUGAGCCCGACUCGGACUGCAUGAGCUCGGUCUGCACGAGCUCGGCCUUCUGAGCUCGGCUUGCAUGAGCUCGGCUCGGACUGCAUGAGCUCGGCUCGGCCUGCAUGAGCUCGGCUCGGCCU
Molecule: long non-coding RNA, 683 nt
Filed under: Phoenix dactylifera (date palm)
Lineage: Eukaryota; Viridiplantae; Streptophyta; Magnoliopsida; Arecales; Arecaceae
Description: long non-coding RNA (PDAC_LNC019143)
Source: RNAcentral